UACGUAGGGCGCAAGCGUUGUCCGGAAUUAUUGGGCGUAAAGAGCUCGUAGGCGGUCUGUCGCGUCUGCCGUGAAAACCCGAGGCUUAACCUCGUGUCUUGCGGUGGAUACGGGCAGACUAGAGGUAGGUAGGGGAGAAUGGAAUUCCCGGUGUAGCGGUGAAAUGCGCAGAUAUCGGGAGGAACACCGGUGGCGAAGGCGGUUCUCUGGGCCUUACCUGACGCUGAGGAGCGAAAGUGUGGGGAGCGAACAGG
Molecule: ribosomal RNA, 254 nt
Filed under: uncultured bacterium
Lineage: Bacteria
Description: partial 16S ribosomal RNA
Rfam family: Bacterial small subunit ribosomal RNA
Source: RNAcentral